RNAcentral lists this ribosomal RNA (450 nucleotides) under uncultured bacterium. RNAcentral describes it as "partial 16S ribosomal RNA". It matches the Rfam family "Bacterial small subunit ribosomal RNA", at positions 354 to 796 of the family's 1533-position model. The record is from RNAcentral.
GUGGGGAAUAUUGGACAAUGGGCGAAAGCCUGAUCCAGCCAUGCAGCGUGUGUGAAGAAGGUCUUCGGAUUGUAAAGCACUUUAAGUUGGGAGGAAGGGCAUUAACCUAAUACGUUAGUGUUUUGACGUUACCGACAGAAUAAGCACCGGCUAACUUCGUGCCAGCAGCCGCGGUAAUACGAAGGGUGCAAGCGUUAAUCGGAAUUACUGGGCGUAAAGCGCGCGUAGGUGGUUUUGUAAGUUGGAGGUGAAAUCCCCGGGCUCAACCUGGGAACUGCCUCCAAAACUGCAUGACUAGAGUACGGUAGAGGGUAGUGGAAUUUCCUGUGUAGCGGUGAAAUGCGUAGAUAUAGGAAGGAACACCAGUGGCGAAGGCGACUACCUGGACUGAUACUGACACUGAGGUGCGAAAGCGUGGGGAGCAAACAGGAUUAGAAACCCUAGUAGUCC